UACAGAGGUCCCAAGCGUUGUUCGGAUUCAUUGGGCGUAAAGGGUGUGUAGGUGGCGCCGUAAGUCGGGUGUGAAAUCUCGGGGCUUAGCUCCGAAACUGCAUUCGAUACUGCGGUGCUUGAGGACUGGAGAGGAGACUGGAAUUCAUGGUGUAGCAGUGAAAUGCGUAGAGAUCAUGAGGAAGACCAGUGGCGAAGGCGGGUCUCUGGACAGUUCCUGACACUGAGACACGAAGGCCAGGGGAGCAAACGGG
This 253-nucleotide ribosomal RNA is filed under the name uncultured bacterium. RNAcentral describes it as "partial 16S ribosomal RNA". It matches the Rfam family "Bacterial small subunit ribosomal RNA", at positions 524 to 776 of the family's 1533-position model. The record is from RNAcentral.